AUUGAACGCUGGCGGCAGGCCUAACACAUGCAAGUCGAGCGGUUGAAGGGAGCUUGCUCCUGGAUUCAGCGGCGGACGGGUGAGUAAUGCCUAGGAAUCUGCCUGGUAGUGGGGGAUAACGUCCGGAAACGGGCGCUAAUACCGCAUACGUCCUGAGGGAGAAAGUGGGGGAUCUUCGGACCUCACGCUAUCAGAUGUGCCUAGGUCGGAUUAGCUAGUUGGUGGGGUAAAGGCCUACCAAGGCGACGAUCCGUAACUGGUCUGAGAGGAUGAUCAGUCACACUGGAACUGAGACACGGUCCAGACUCCUACGGGAGGCAGCAGUGGGGAAUAUUGGACAAUGGGAGAAAGCCUGAUCCAGCCAAGCCGCGUGUGUGAAGAAGGUCUUCGGAUUGUAAAGCACUUUAAGUUGGGAGGAAGGGCAGUAAGUUAAUACCUUGCUGUUUUGACGUUACCAACAGAAUAAGCACCGGCUAACUUCGUG
This 484-nucleotide ribosomal RNA is filed under the name uncultured bacterium. RNAcentral describes it as "partial 16S ribosomal RNA". It matches the Rfam family "Bacterial small subunit ribosomal RNA", at positions 30 to 507 of the family's 1533-position model. The record is from RNAcentral.